Micropterus salmoides (largemouth bass) is the source of this 756-nucleotide long non-coding RNA. RefSeq lists it as uncharacterized. The transcript is spliced from 5 exons. The record is from RefSeq and is a predicted model, not a curated record. Lineage: Eukaryota; Metazoa; Chordata; Actinopteri; Centrarchiformes; Centrarchidae.
GCUUCUGAACGACGUAGCUCAGAUUCAACAGUGAAAUAACUUUAGUGACUUGUUUUAAGACUGCAGGUGUGUGAGGUCCUGUUCACGGAAACCUGCCGGAUGACAGAGAGAAAUCCCCGAAUCGGCCAGGUUUUUUUACCUUAGUUAAAAUUGAUGGCGAGCCAACCCAGAUGAGACCAGAAGAUCCCUGGGUUGAAGACCCCUGAAGUGAGAAACUCUGAGCCAAGGACUACUGAUCUUACCCCUCACCUGCUACAGCGGUAGGACAACCAGCACCACUUUUACACUCAACUUCCAGCACCACUUGCACAACCCCACACUUAGGACUCUAUUUUUUAUUUUAUUUUGCACUUGGACAAUUACCUUCCUCCUCCUGUUUGGAAACGCAUCCCUGGUUUCUGCAGAAAUUUCAUUCUUCAGAAAAAAAGGAAGAAGGUGAAAGGAGGAUUUCCUAAAUCUCAAAACAUUCCUUGGCCUGGAAUCCCAACAACUUGUUCCUCUUCAACCUGGUCAUUGCUGACUUCCUGGCUCUGGUGAGUCUGCCACUGAGGAUCGAUGCCUUGCUCAGGGGCCACUGGGUGUUUGGAGAUGGCAUGUGCCGGAUCCUCGUAAUGUUUUCCAACUGCUCGGCCAGCAUCGCACUCAUGACUGUGGUGGCAAUUUACCACUACUUCAAGGUAGUUUACUACCAGUUCAACCUGAUCCUGACGGUGCUUAAGUUCAUCAUCCCAAUGGCCAUGCUGCUGUUUUGCCCCA